AAUUGCUGAAGCAAAGAAUAUAUACGUUGUUGGGGCCAAGAUCCUGAUACCAGCGCGAAAGCCUCCAGUCCAAUCCUGUCUGUAGCACAGAAGUCUUCCUUUUAGAUCAUUCUUAAUCCCACGAAACGGAAAAAAUGUUUCCUCCAUUUUGAGUGGAAUAUUUUGUGAACAAGAAGGUUCGUGAAUGGAUUUCCCCCCCUUUUCUUUUGAGAUAUUAAGAGUAUGAGAGUGGAAGUAACAUUGAAAAGACAAACCAAAAUGGUAACAUGUAAGCUAAACCAUAAUCAAGUUAACAGGACUCGAGAGGCCAACAUGAUGGUUAAGAUUUCAUACUAAUAAUUCGGGAUGUCCUAUGGACAGAAAAAAAAAAA
RNAcentral lists this unclassified non-coding RNA (371 nucleotides) under Hevea brasiliensis (rubber tree). The record is from RNAcentral. Lineage: Eukaryota; Viridiplantae; Streptophyta; Magnoliopsida; Malpighiales; Euphorbiaceae.